UACAGAGGUCUCAACCGUUGUUCGGAUUCAUUGGGCGUAAAGGGUGCGUAGGCGGUCGUGCAAGUCGGAUGUGAAAUCUCAGGGCUCAACCCUGAAACUGCAUUCGAUACUGCGUGGCUAGAGUGCUGGAGAGGAGACUGGAAUUUACGGUGAGCAGUGAAAUGCGUAGAUAUCGUAAGGAAGACCAGUGGCGAAGGCGAGUCUCUGGACAGCAACUGACGCUGAGGCACGAAGGCCAGGGGAGCAAACGGG
This 252-nucleotide ribosomal RNA is filed under the name uncultured bacterium. Its description in RNAcentral is "partial 16S ribosomal RNA". It matches the Rfam family "Bacterial small subunit ribosomal RNA", at positions 524 to 776 of the family's 1533-position model. The record is from RNAcentral.